RNAcentral lists this ribosomal RNA (1599 nucleotides) under Campylobacter jejuni. Its description in RNAcentral is "partial 23S ribosomal RNA". It matches the Rfam family "Bacterial large subunit ribosomal RNA", at positions 1344 to 2925 of the family's 2925-position model. Lineage: Bacteria; Pseudomonadati; Campylobacterota; Epsilonproteobacteria; Campylobacterales; Campylobacteraceae. The record is from RNAcentral.
CCCAAGGUUUCCUACGCGAUGCUCGUCAUCGUAGGGUUAGUCGGGUCCUAAGUCGAGUCCGAAAGGGGUAGACGAUGGCAAAUUGGUUAAUAUUCCAAUACCAACAUUAGUGUGCGAUGGAAGGACGCUUAGGGCUAAGGGGGCUAGCGGAUGGAAGUGCUAGUCUAAGGUCGUAGGAGGUUAUACAGGCAAAUCCGUAUAACAAUACUCCGAGAACUGAAAGGCUUUUUGAAGUCUUCGGAUGGAUAGAAGAACCCCUGAUGCCGUCGAGCCAAGAAAAGUUUCUAAGUUUAGCUAAUGUUGCCCGUACCGUAAACCGACACAGGUGGGUGGGAUGAGUAUUCUAAGGCGCGUGGAAGAACUCUCUUUAAGGAACUCUGCAAAAUAGCACCGUAUCUUCGGUAUAAGGUGUGGUUAGCUUUGUAUUAGGAUUUACUCCGAAAGCAAGGAAACUUACAACAAAGAGUCCCUCCCGACUGUUUACCAAAAACACAGCACUCUGCUAACUCGUAAGAGGAUGUAUAGGGUGUGACGCCUGCCCGGUGCUCGAAGGUUAAUUGAUGGGGUUAGCAUUAGCGAAGCUCUUGAUCGAAGCCCGAGUAAACGGCGGCCGUAACUAUAACGGUCCUAAGGUAGCGAAAUUCCUUGUCGGUUAAAUACCGACCUGCAUGAAUGGCGUAACGAGAUGGGAGCUGUCUCAAAGAGGGAUCCAGUGAAAUUGUAGUGGAGGUGAAAAUUCCUCCUACCCGCGGCAAGACGGAAAGACCCCGUGGACCUUUACUACAGCUUGACACUGCUACUUGGAUAAGAAUGUGCAGGAUAGGUGGGAGGCUUUGAGUAUAUGACGCCAGUUGUAUAUGAGCCAUUGUUGAGAUACCACUCUUUCUUAUUUGGGUAGCUAACCAGCUUGAGUUAUCCUCAAGUGGGACAAUGUCUGGUGGGUAGUUUGACUGGGGCGGUCGCCUCCCAAAUAAUAACGGAGGCUUACAAAGGUUGGCUCAGAACGGUUGGAAAUCGUUCGUAGAGUAUAAAGGUAUAAGCCAGCUUAACUGCAAGACAUACAAGUCAAGCAGAGACGAAAGUCGGUCUUAGUGAUCCGGUGGUUCUGUGUGGAAGGGCCAUCGCUCAAAGGAUAAAAGGUACCCCGGGGAUAACAGGCUGAUCUCCCCCAAGAGCUCACAUCGACGGGGAGGUUUGGCACCUCGAUGUCGGCUCAUCGCAUCCUGGGGCUGGAGCAGGUCCCAAGGGUAUGGCUGUUCGCCAUUUAAAGCGGUACGCGAGCUGGGUUCAGAACGUCGUGAGACAGUUCGGUCCCUAUCUGCCGUGGGCGUAAGAAGAUUGAAGAGAUUUGACCCUAGUACGAGAGGACCGGGUUGAACAAACCACUGGUGUAGCUGUUGUUCUGCCAAGAGCAUCGCAGCGUAGCUAAGUUUGGAAAGGAUAAACGCUGAAAGCAUCUAAGCGUGAAGCCAACUCUAAGAUGAAUCUUCUCUAAGCUCUCUAGAAGACUACUAGUUUGAUAGGCUGGGUGUGUAAUGGAUGAAAGUCCUUUAGCUGACCAGUACUAAUAGAGCGUUUGGCUUAUCUUUAAUAAAGCAU